RNAcentral lists this long non-coding RNA (326 nucleotides) under Homo sapiens (human). RNAcentral's name for it is "non-protein coding lnc-ARVCF-3:1". The record is from RNAcentral. Lineage: Eukaryota; Metazoa; Chordata; Mammalia; Primates; Hominidae.
CAAGUACUUUAACAUCAAAGCCAGCUUUGUUGACGAGCACACGGUUUGCGGCGUUGCCAAAGGUGGGAAAGAGAUUCUGCUGUCAGCCGAUCACAUCAUCAUUGCUACUGGAGGGCGGCCGAGAUACCCCACGCACAUCGAAGGUGCCUUGGAAUAUGGAAUCACAAGUGAUGACAUCUUCUGGCUGAAGGAAUCCCCUGGAAAAACGUAAGGCCUGCGCGUGCUUGGUGGGGUCCUCUUUUUGUUCACCAGAGUGAGCACUGGACCCUUAGAGCCUGUGCUGGUGCUGGGCUCCUGGGGCUUUCUUUCCGGUUUACCCAAAAGAA